Long non-coding RNA from Oncorhynchus tshawytscha (Chinook salmon), 938 nucleotides. RefSeq lists it as uncharacterized. Lineage: Eukaryota; Metazoa; Chordata; Actinopteri; Salmoniformes; Salmonidae. The record is from RefSeq and is a predicted model, not a curated record. The transcript is spliced from 2 exons.
UUCACUGUCUAGUGAUAUAAAGAACCAUUUCAAAGUAGAGGAGGAGACACGGGUGAAAAGGUCAGAUGUGACUCCCAUCUGUGGGCUCUCUGUUCCCUCCAUCUAUCCUCACACUGAGUUGCGCAAGGCAGAUCAGGUUUCAAGCAUCUGGUCAGCACUGCCUGUCUUUGAGUCAACAGAUUUUGACAGCAGUGAUGAACGAUGUCUUUGGCCAACCAGAAUACAGGCUGUGAAAGGAAGUAAAGACACACCUUCAGUGACAGUGAUCACACAUAAAUCAGUAUCUCCAAAACAGUUGGAUGAAUGGUCAAACACUUUGAACCAUCAACGAGACCUGGGUAACAGAGUGAUGCAGGUUCCGAGUGAAACCAAACAACAUUAUUUGUUCAGCAGAAGAGAAACCUGGUGUAUGUCAUUAUUGUGGGAUUUCUGGUCACUGGCAAUGAGAAUGUCGGGAAAGAAAACGUCUUGAUGAGAAGUGGCCAGGAGAAGAAGGUUCCGUCUGAGGGAAAUUGGAACCAGGACAACAGCCCCAACAACACAAUGCUGAUGCAGAAAUUUAAGAAGCUCUCCAGCUGCUGUGGAGGUUAUGAGAAUCUAUCUUCUGAGGCUGCAGCAAUAUUCCUUGACCCAAGGCCUGUACCUGAAACAAUACAAGAUCACUGUUGAAGUGUUCAUUAGAGAAGUCCUUAUCAACCAGUGGAAUGGAAGAAUAAUUCCUCACUACGGGCAGACUGUCAGAAUAUAAUUUCUAAUAGUUAUCUAUGUGGGACUGAUAUCAGUGUGGAAGAGCUGGUCACUUUUAAAGGACUUGGCGAAUGAUUACCUUGCCAAUUAGGACGAUUGAGUUUUAUUGUCUUGCAGACAGUCUUAUUGUAACAGCAAAUAAAAUAUGCCCUUUGUGCUUUCUAGAAAUGCAAGGUGUUUAAUGUAAAUGA